GACGAACGCUGGCGGCGUGCUUAACACAUGCGAGUCGAACGGAAAGGCCCCCAUCUUGGUGGGGGUGCUCGAGUGGCGAACGGGUGAGUAACACGUGGGUGAUCUGCCCUGUACUUCGGGAUAAGCUUGGGAAACUGGGUCUAAUACCGGAUAGGACCAUGGUUUAGUGUCUCAUGGUGGAAAGAUUAUUGUUUUGGUGCAGGAUGAGCUCGCGGCCUAUCAGCUUGUUGGUGGGGUAAUGGCCUACCAAGGCGUCGACGGGUAGCCGGCCUGAGAGGGUGGACGGCCACAUUGGGACUGAGCUACGGCCCCGACUCCUACGGGAGGCAGCAGUGGGGAAUAUUGCACAAUGGGCGCAAGCCUGAUGCAGCGACGCCGCGUGGGGGAUGACGGCCUUCGGGUUGUAAACUCCUUUCGUUAGGGACGAAGCCGCACUUUUUUUGGGUGUGGUGACGGUACCUUUGUUAAGAAGCACCGGCUAACUACGUG
This 489-nucleotide ribosomal RNA is filed under the name uncultured bacterium. Its description in RNAcentral is "partial 16S ribosomal RNA". It matches the Rfam family "Bacterial small subunit ribosomal RNA", at positions 28 to 507 of the family's 1533-position model. The record is from RNAcentral.